Molecule: ribosomal RNA, 497 nt
Filed under: uncultured bacterium
Lineage: Bacteria
Description: partial 16S ribosomal RNA
Rfam family: Bacterial small subunit ribosomal RNA
Source: RNAcentral
GAUGAACGCUGGCGGCGUGCCUAAUACAUGCAAGUCGAGCGAACAGACGAGGAGCUUGCUCCUCUGACGUUAGCGGCGGACGGGUGAGUAACACGUGGAUAACCUACCUAUAAGACUGGGAUAACUUCGGGAAACCGGAGCUAAUACCGGAUAAUAUAUUGAACCGCAUGGUUCAAUAGUGAAAGACGGUUUUGCUGUCACUUAUAGAUGGAUCCGCGCCGCAUUAGCUAGUUGGUAAGGUAACGGCUUACCAAGGCAACGAUGCGUAGCCGACCUGAGAGGGUGAUCGGCCACACUGGAACUGAGACACGGUCCAGACUCCUACGGGAGGCAGCAGUAGGGAAUCUUCCGCAAUGGGCGAAAGCCUGACGGAGCAACGCCGCGUGAGUGAUGAAGGUCUUCGCAUCGUAAAACUCUGUUAUUAGGGAAGAACAAAUGUGUAAGUAACUAUGCACGUCUUGACGGUACCUAAUCAGAAAGCCACGGCUAACUACGUG